This 253-nucleotide ribosomal RNA is filed under the name uncultured bacterium. RNAcentral describes it as "partial 16S ribosomal RNA". It matches the Rfam family "Bacterial small subunit ribosomal RNA", at positions 524 to 776 of the family's 1533-position model. The record is from RNAcentral.
UACGUAGGGUCCGAGCGUUGUCCGGAAUUACUGGGCGUAAAGAGCUCGUAGGUGGUUUGUCGCGUUGUUCGUGAAAACUCACAGCUCAACUGUGGGCGUGCGGGCGAUACGGGCAGACUAGAGUCCUGCAGGGGAGACUGGAAUUCCUGGUGUAGCGGUGGAAUGCGCAGAUAUCAGGAGGAACACCGGUGGCGAAGGCGGGUCUCUGGGCCGAUACUGACGCUGAGGAGCGAAAGCGUGGGGAGCGAACAGG